GUCCUCCCGAGAUCGCGAGAGACCCACCGAACUGUAGAAUACGAAAACCCACCCCAUCCACUGCCCCGAUCCCCUCUCCUGACCUCCCCAAAUCCCCUCUCCCCACCUUCCCCGAUCGCCGCCGCUGCCUCCCUCCCUGAAUCGCGCCGCCGCCGCCUCCCUCCCUGAAUCGCGCCGCCGCCGCCAUCCUCCCUGAAUCGCGCCGCCGCCGCCAUCCUCCCUGAAUCGCGCCGCCGCCACCCUCCCUGGAUAGCGUUGUCGUCGCCGCCACCCUCCAUGGUUCGCGCCUCCGCCGCCUCCCUCCCUGGAUCACAGCGCCGCUGCCCACCACUUCCACGACACGCCUCCACCGCCACCCACCCCGUCCCCGACGCGCCUGCAGCCUUCCGGACGGAUCCGGUCGAGGCCGGCGAGAUCCACGCGGCCGACCACAAGUUCUGCCUUAUCCCACAACAUCCAUCCAUCGACAUCGACUGAUAUGAACAAAAUCAGUCCAUCGACACCCGCGCACGGCUUGGAUUCUGCACGUCGCCGCCAUGAGAUGCAGUCUACUAGCUCACCUCCGCCACCAUGCCUCCUCACCUCUGCCAUCGACGGUCGCCACUGUGCUCGAGGUCUCUUGUACAUGCCAUGGCCAGGGGCCCCAACCCCUUAUGCUACCGGAUCCUGGGGUCGCCGUUGGACCCGUCGCCGUCAGCCUCCCCAACCUUCUCUGGUUACCUGGACAGGAUUGCCCUUGCCAUUGAGCGCGACCAGUGCCUGUAUUUCGUCCACGACCAAGCCACUGUGCUCAUCUUCAGUUCCGCGUCGACCAGUUGCAUAAUAGUAGCGGAAAGGAUGCAGGCUUCCACACGGUGCCUAAAAAAUGCCACUUUUCCAAUAUCGUCUCCAUCCGAGCACGAAGCCGCUGCUGCCCGUCAGUGCUUGGUCAACGACCGACCGAACAACUCUUCCCUCUCCACCACGAGAAGUUCGUCACCUCACGCGCGAGCAGUCCAUCUAUCGCCUCCCGUGCAAGCACUCCAUCACCUCACACAGUGUCCGUUCGACAGAGUUUGUCCUUUUGAAGAAGCAGAAAAUGGAGUUUGAAGCGGCCGCGGGCGGGUGGUGGUGUGGUUGCAGAAGAAGAAGCGCUGGUGCGAACUCGUCCAUCCGGCGCUAGUAUACCAGUAAGAUUUGGAGGCGAAGAAUUUGUUGUGUCUCUUACCAUGAAUCUCUGUAGCUAUGGAAACUUGGCUUCCUAUAAAUUUUUAAGAUAUAUCGCUAGCUCUUUGUUCCCCUAGUGUGUUUGCAUUAAUGUGUGAGAGGAAACUAUUCUGGGUAAGUAUUCUCCUGGGAUUUCCUAUGCUUUGCACUACUACGUACAUAGUUUGAAAAUGUAGUUUUGGAGUCCAAUAUGGCUCCAGGUUGAAGUUUGAUGCAUUGCACGUGAUUGCUGUACAUUAUAUCCUACUAUAAAUGCAUAACACUUGUCCG
This 1476-nucleotide ribosomal RNA is filed under the name Triticum aestivum (bread wheat). RNAcentral's name for it is "partial small subunit ribosomal RNA". Lineage: Eukaryota; Viridiplantae; Streptophyta; Magnoliopsida; Poales; Poaceae. The record is from RNAcentral.